UGGGACGCUGCUCGUGGAGCCCCAGGAUCUUUGCCUUGUGUGUGCUCUCUUCCCCCGAGAGCCCUGACGGGAGCACGUUCCACUGCCUGGUGUUUGCAUCCAGCUCUGAGCAGGAAUGCGAGGAAAUCAUCGGGAGAAUCGCUGCAGGAUUCAAGCACACAGAGUGGUUUGUCUGAGGGAGAAGAGCACCAUGAGGCACCACUGGCCCAGCAGCAGCAGCUGAGGGACGCAGGCCCUGCCUCCCACAGCAAGUUGGGAUGGAUUUCAUCCUCUUCCUCCCCAUGCUGGGUGGGAGAUCACGGAUACUGGAACCUGGCGGGGACUGCUGCUACUCUUGCCCCAGAAGAGCACAAUUUCCACUGCAAUAAAUCAAGCCAGGCCGGCUCAACCACUUCGCUGUGCAGCUUUGUGUGACUGCCCCAGCCUGACUGGCAGAGCCUGUUCUGGCAGGGCUCAGCAGCCUUGCCCUCCAAGCUCAGUGUAAUUACCUCUGAGCACUUUCCUCCACCACAGCCCAGCAGCUGAGGAACCCAGAGCUGCCUUGGCGCAGCUUGAAGUGAAGAGUUGAGUUCAGUCACAUUCCA
RNAcentral lists this long non-coding RNA (584 nucleotides) under Junco hyemalis (dark-eyed junco). RNAcentral describes it as "lncRNA (ENSJHYG00000011036.1)". The record is from RNAcentral. Lineage: Eukaryota; Metazoa; Chordata; Aves; Passeriformes; Passerellidae.